RNAcentral lists this transfer RNA (82 nucleotides) under Schistocephalus solidus. It matches the Rfam family "tRNA". Rfam says of the family: Transfer RNA (tRNA) molecules are approximately 80 nucleotides in length. The record is from Rfam by way of RNAcentral. Lineage: Eukaryota; Metazoa; Platyhelminthes; Cestoda; Diphyllobothriidea; Diphyllobothriidae.
GGCCUCGUAGCCAGUUGGUUAGAGCGUUGGCUUUGCAAAAGCCUUCCCCUUGCUGGCGUGGGUUCGAAUCCCACCGAGGCCA